RNAcentral lists this transfer RNA (95 nucleotides) under Rhodospirillaceae bacterium. RNAcentral's name for it is "tRNA-Sec". It matches the Rfam family "Selenocysteine transfer RNA". The record is from RNAcentral. Lineage: Bacteria; Pseudomonadati; Pseudomonadota; Alphaproteobacteria; Rhodospirillales; Rhodospirillaceae. RNAcentral also lists the same sequence under 1 other name.
GGAAGGGAAUCAGUGGCGGUCCGCUGGCUGGUCUUCAAAACCAGUGAUGGGCGUUAAACGCUCGUGGUAGGUUCAACUCCUACUCCCUUCCGCCA